Molecule: ribosomal RNA, 292 nt
Filed under: uncultured Planctomycetota bacterium
Lineage: Bacteria; Pseudomonadati; Planctomycetota
Description: uncultured planctomycete partial 16S ribosomal RNA
Source: RNAcentral
GGACUACUAGGGUUUCUAAUCCCGUUUGCUCCCCUGGCUUUCGCGCCUCAGCGUCAGAAGAGGUCCAGCAUGCCGCCUUCGCCACCGGAGUUCCUAACGAUAUCAACGCAUUUCACCGCUCCACCGUUAGUUCCGCAUGCCCCUACCUCCCUCGAGACACCCAGUAUCCAAGGCAAUUCGACAGUUAAGCUGCCGGAUUUCACCACAGACUUUGAUGCCCGCCUACGCGCCCUUUAAGCCCAGUGAUUCCGAACAACGUUCGCUCGGUUCGUCUUACCGCGGCUGCUGGCAC